This is a non-coding RNA of Castor canadensis (American beaver), 358 nucleotides long. The record is from RefSeq and is a predicted model, not a curated record. Lineage: Eukaryota; Metazoa; Chordata; Mammalia; Rodentia; Castoridae.
CAGGGCUGCAGCCAAGAUAUCUGAUGGUUCCCAGUACUAUGUUCUGCUCAUCAUCACUGAUGGGGUCAUCUCUGACAUGACACAGACCAAAGAGGCCAUUGUCAGUGCCUCCUCGCUGCCCAUGUCUAUCAUUAUUGUUGGUGUGGGACCAGCCAUGUUUGAGGCAAUGGAAGAGUUGGACGGUGAUGAUGUGCGUGUGUCCUCCAGGGGACGUUAUGCAGAGCGGGACAUUGUUCAGGUAGCCCUGACCCUGGGGUGGUGGUAAUGCCGAGAGGCACAGUGGAAAGGAGAGGCUAAGUAGUAACCACUUUCCCUUACCGCCUUCUCAGUAGCCAGCCUUUCUCCCCUCAUUCUUUCC